CGCGUAGGCGGUUUUUUAAGUGAGGCGUGAAAGCCCUGGGCUUAACCCAGGAGGUGCGUUUCAUACUGGAAAGCUUGAGUACGAGAGAGGAAAGUGGAAUUCCUAGUGUAGAGGUGAAAUUCGUAGAUAUUAGGAAGAACACCAGUGGCGAAGGCGGCUUUCUGGCUCGUAACUGACGCUGAGGCGCGAAAGCGUGGGGAGCAAACA
Molecule: ribosomal RNA, 207 nt
Filed under: uncultured bacterium
Lineage: Bacteria
Description: partial 16S ribosomal RNA
Rfam family: Bacterial small subunit ribosomal RNA
Source: RNAcentral